This 254-nucleotide ribosomal RNA is filed under the name uncultured bacterium. RNAcentral's name for it is "partial 16S ribosomal RNA". It matches the Rfam family "Bacterial small subunit ribosomal RNA", at positions 524 to 776 of the family's 1533-position model. The record is from RNAcentral.
UACGUAGGGUGCGAGCGUUGUCCGGAAUUAUUGGGCGUAAAGAGCUCGUAGGCGGUCUGUCGCGUCGAUCGUGAAAACUUGGGGCUUAACCCUGAGCUUGCGGUCGAUACGGGCAUGACUGGAGUUCGGCAGGGGAGACUGGAAUUCCUGGUGUAGCGGUGAAAUGCGCAGAUAUCAGGAGGAACACCGGUGGCGAAGGCAGAUCUCUGGGCCGUAACUGACGCUGAGGAGCGAAAGCGUGGGGAGCAAACAGG